RNAcentral lists this transfer RNA (76 nucleotides) under Candidatus Thorarchaeota archaeon. RNAcentral describes it as "tRNA-Val". It matches the Rfam family "tRNA". Rfam says of the family: Transfer RNA (tRNA) molecules are approximately 80 nucleotides in length. Their secondary structure includes four short double-helical elements and three loops (D, anti-codon, and T loops). The record is from RNAcentral. Lineage: Archaea; Promethearchaeati; Candidatus Thorarchaeota.
GGGCCGGUGAUCUAGCGGUUAUGAUGCCGCCUUCACACGGCGGAUGUCAGGAGUUCGAAUCUCCUCCGGCCCACCA